CUUGGAUGAAGAAUUGAAACCCUAGCUUUGAUUCUGUAGAAGAGGUAUGAUCUCCAGGGGCCAGGGGGGUCUGGUUUUAUAGUCCCUUCAAGUGAAUAUGGGCCGUUGGAUCAAACCGACUUAGAUUGAACGGUUAUCCUUGAUCCUUUAGGUCGGUGGAGAUCUCCCGCAAAGCAGAGUCCUGAUUGGACUCAGGAGGUGGGCGGGCGCCCAGUAGGACAGGGCGGGCGCCCUGUCUCUGGCCCCGUUUCGCCUCCGCUUCGGUCUCGUGGCUUCUGGAGUCUUCUAGAUGUAAGAUAAUUGCGCAGCACGUUAAUAUCUCUAUGUAAACCCGACGUGUGGGCCUUUCCUCCGUAUUUCCUGAUAACCCCCUGCA
RNAcentral lists this long non-coding RNA (376 nucleotides) under Sorghum bicolor (sorghum). RNAcentral's name for it is "long non-coding RNA (SBIC_LNC012399)". The record is from RNAcentral. Lineage: Eukaryota; Viridiplantae; Streptophyta; Magnoliopsida; Poales; Poaceae.